Molecule: ribosomal RNA, 500 nt
Filed under: uncultured bacterium
Lineage: Bacteria
Description: partial 16S ribosomal RNA
Rfam family: Bacterial small subunit ribosomal RNA
Source: RNAcentral
AUUGAACGCUAGCGGCAGGCUUAACACAUGCAAGUCGAGCGGGGGAAGGUAGCUUGCUACCGGACCUAGCGGCGGACGGGUGAGUAAUGCCUAGGAAUCUGCCUGGUAGUGGGGGACAACGUUUCGAAAGGAACGCUAAUACCGCAUACGUCCUACGGGAGAAAGCAGGGGACCUUCGGGCCUUGCGCUAUCAGAUGAGCCUAGGUCGGAUUAGCUAGUUGGUGGGGUAAUGGCUCACCAAGGCGACGAUCCGUAACUGGUCUGAGAGGAUGAUCAGUCACACUGGAACUGAGACACGGUCCAGACUCCUACGGGAGGCAGCAGUGGGGAAUAUUGGACAAUGGGCGAAAGCCUGAUCCAGCCAUGCCGCGUGUGUGAAGAAGGUCUUCGGAUUGUAAAGCACUUUAAGUUGGGAGGGAGGGCAGUAAGUUAAUACCUUGCUGUUUUGACGUUACCGACAGAAUAAGCACCGGCUAACUCUGUGCCAGCCGCCGCCGUAA